GGAUGUCAUCAUACCAGCACUAAAGCACCGGAUCCCAUCAGAACUCCGAAGUUAAGCGUGCUUGGGCGAGUGUAGUACUAGGAUGGGUGACCUCCUGGGAAGUCCUCGUGUUGCAUUCC
This 119-nucleotide ribosomal RNA is filed under the name Triticum aestivum (bread wheat). Lineage: Eukaryota; Viridiplantae; Streptophyta; Magnoliopsida; Poales; Poaceae. The record is from RNAcentral.